RNAcentral lists this transfer RNA (74 nucleotides) under Flavobacteriales bacterium. RNAcentral describes it as "tRNA-Ala". It matches the Rfam family "tRNA". Rfam says of the family: Transfer RNA (tRNA) molecules are approximately 80 nucleotides in length. Their secondary structure includes four short double-helical elements and three loops (D, anti-codon, and T loops). The record is from RNAcentral. Lineage: Bacteria; Pseudomonadati; Bacteroidota; Flavobacteriia; Flavobacteriales.
GGGGCAGUAGCUCAGCUGGCUAGAGCGUCGCGUUCGCAAUGCGAAGGUCGGGAGUUCGAAUCUCCUCUGCUCCA